This 431-nucleotide ribosomal RNA is filed under the name uncultured bacterium. RNAcentral's name for it is "partial 16S ribosomal RNA". It matches the Rfam family "Bacterial small subunit ribosomal RNA", at positions 338 to 795 of the family's 1533-position model. The record is from RNAcentral.
CCUACGGGGGGCAGCAGUUAGGAAUUUUGGGCAAUGGGCGAAAGCCUGACCCAGCAACGCCGCGUGGGUGACGAAGGCCUUCGGGUUGUAAAGCCCUUUUCUCGGGGAGGCGGUACCCGAGGAAGAAGCACCGGCUAACUACGUGCCAGCAGCCGCGGUAAUACGUAGGGUGCAAGCGUUGCCCGGAUUUAUUGGGCGUAAAGGGCGCGCAGGCGGCUCGGCACGUCCGUUGUGAAAUCGCCCGGCUCAACUGGGCGGGGUCAGCGGAUACGGUCGAGCUUGAGCAAGCUAGGGGGUAAUGGAAUUCCCGGUGUAGUGGUGGAAUGCGUAGAUAUCGGGAGGAACACCAGUGGCGAAGGCGGUUACCUGGAGUUGCUGACGCUGAGGCGCGAAAGCGUGGGGAGCGAUCCGGAUUAGAUACCCUUGUAGUC